UACAGAGGUCUCAACCGUUGUUCGGAUUCAUUGGGCGUAAAGGGUGCGUAGGCGGUCGUGCAAGUCGGAUGUGAAAUCUCAGGGCUCAACCCUGAAACUGCAUUCGAUACUGCGUGGCUAGAGUGCUGGAGAGGAGACUGGAAUUUACGGUGUAGCAGUGAAAUGCGUAGAUAUCGUAAGGAAGACCAGUGGCGAAGGCGGGUCUCUGGACAGUUCCUGACGCUGAGGCGCGAAAGCCAGGGGAGCAAACGGG
Molecule: ribosomal RNA, 253 nt
Filed under: uncultured bacterium
Lineage: Bacteria
Description: partial 16S ribosomal RNA
Rfam family: Bacterial small subunit ribosomal RNA
Source: RNAcentral